UACAGAGGAGCCAAGCGUUGUCCGGAUUUACUGGGCGUAAAGCGCGUGUAGGCGGCUUGGCAAGUCGGUUGUGAAAGCCCGGGGCCCAACCCCGGAAUUGCAUCUGAAACUGCCUCGCUAGAGUCCCGGAGAGGAAGGCAGAAUUCCCGGUGUAGGGGUGAAAUGCGCAGAUAUCGGGAAGAACACCCGUGGCGAAGGCGGUUCUCUGGGACGGUACUGACGCUGAGACGCGAAAGCGUGGGGAGCGAACAGG
Molecule: ribosomal RNA, 253 nt
Filed under: uncultured bacterium
Lineage: Bacteria
Description: partial 16S ribosomal RNA
Rfam family: Bacterial small subunit ribosomal RNA
Source: RNAcentral